This is a long non-coding RNA of Triticum aestivum (bread wheat), 2221 nucleotides long. RefSeq lists it as uncharacterized. NCBI's taxonomy places the organism in Eukaryota, Viridiplantae, Streptophyta, Magnoliopsida, Poales, Poaceae. The transcript has 2 exons. The record is from RefSeq and is a predicted model, not a curated record.
CGUCUGCCACAACCGUGCCAAGAUGGGACUCCUCCUGCUUUCACGCGCGCGGAUGAGGGACACCCUGCUCUGGCUCCGAUCGGCGAUCGACUAUGGGGUUCAGGAGCAGCAGCAGCCGGACGACGCCACAGCGAGCAGCGAUGCCAGCAGCGCAACAACGGUGGACCCGGCAGAGUGGAGUCGUGUCCUGCGAGAAGCGGGCUCAGCAGGGCGCCACGCUAUGCGGCCAUGUCGGAAGAUUCUGUGGAUUGCCAAAGGGGAGGAGACAGGAGGAGAGGACUCUUCAGAUGGUGAGAGCUAACGACGGUGCGUGGGGCCGACGACGGGCAUGGCGAGCAGCGAUAAUGCAGUGUGUUUGUUGUUCGUGUGCAAAUAAGGGGGUCUGCAAGGAGUAGCGAGCAGAAGCAACACAAGACGACGGCAGCGGCACGAUGCUCUCACCUCAGGUCUCUCCUUCCCUCGCUCUUCCUCCGCUUCCACUCUUCCUUCUUUUCACUGCUCGAUGUCGUGUUGUCGUUGUUUGUCCUGGAAGGCGGAAGCAACGACGGCAGGGGCAGCAGUGCAGGUACAGGUCGCCCACCGUCGUGGUCUGGACAUUUGAUCAGUCUCGAGCUAACCUCCCCUUGGAUUCAAUUCUUGCUCCUCGAGUACACUAGAUUUUUCCCAUGAUUCUUUUUCCGGCCUGGAGAUCAGCCUAGAAAUCCUCCUUCCCCGCUUUGUUCUGAUUGUUUAUUUCAUAGGAGUUCUAUUGCUGAAUGGUGGCAAACCAGGAGGUGGCGGCAGAAUGUGACGAUGACGGUGGAUGUGAUGCGCGUCACAAUGGCGGUCCCUGGCAGAGCUCAUGCCGUUUGAGCUCGACACCGCAACAACUGCGGCCUCUGUGUGUCAAUCGCCACCACCUUGAUAUUAGUAUAGAAAAUCAAUAUUUUAUUUGUUCUUCGUAUGAAUGGCCAACCCUAUAUGAAUUCAGGUUUGGGGAUCUUGCUUCAUAUCCUGUUUGAAACUUGGAAUUUUGAUUGUCAAGCAUAGCGUUACUUUCACGGUCGCCUGCAUAUUUUUCUGAUGGCUUACAAGGCAAAACACACAUCAUGGAAUGCAGGGAGAACACAAAUUUAUUUUGCUCUUUGUACUUCUAUUAGAUAGGCCAUACUGCAGGAAGAAUGUGGAUCUAUGUUGCUCUCUCUACUUUUAUUAGAUAGGGCAAAUUCUGUUUGUUUCAUUAAUGUCUUCGUUACUGACGGUACUGAUAUGUAAAUUUAACAUCUGAUACCAUUAGAAUUGGCCCUCAAAUUGCAACCAAGAUUAGAGCUGCCUGCCUCGGUCUGUGCAAGAACUUUUUUACUUUAUCUAUUUUGUAAGAGCACUACAGUCUACAACAGUUGUUUGGAAACCCCAAAUUUGAGAUUUGGUGAGAAUGAAUGUACGUGUUUGAACCUUUCUGCAGAACCUGAAUCUCAUGAUGGUACAGAGAGGGAAGUAUGCCAGAGAUAGACAUGUUAGUUUAUAAGUAUAUCAGAAUACAAUCAUACAAUGCAGAAUUGGCCUGUUACAUAUUCUACUCAUCCCUCCCUCCCCCACAAUCCAUUGGAUUGCAUAUGAAGAAUGUCAUUAAAUAAGAGGUGGAAGGUCAAAUCGGCAAGACUCCUUGUGAAGACCACUAGCCAAACAAUCGGACUUCUUUUUAGCCGGUCUAGAUUCAGUUUGUAUAGCUUAGGUUUUGGCACUAUCUUUUUGAUAUUUGAAGUCAAUUCUAUGAUUUCUUUCACAGAUGUGCCAAGACGGGCAAGGACACCAAGCGGGGAGGGACAUCGCCCAACACAUAUCUGAGCUUCUCCUUUUUGCAUUCGCAACAAAGAAGAGAAGAGGUGGAGCUAGCAUACCUGCAGAUGGGCUGGUGACGGUGAGGUCGCCCGCAAGUACACCCAACUCUGGCUGAGGAUGCCGGCUCCUGCUUCCUGUGGUUAUGGAAUAUGUUGCUUUGUGGCUAUUGGUUAAAGAAUAGAUAGUCAAUUUACCUAAGUUUUCUUCCAGGAAAAUUCAUUGGAUUUUGAAUAGCUGAUAUAUAUAUAUAUAUAUAUAUGUCAGUUGUCAUGUAAUGUAUACGUCGUACUUUUGGAAUACUUACUUUUCCAUUUUUGUGGAGGUGUGAUGUAGACAAGUAUCCAGCCAUGCAUGAUGAAUAUGAUUAAUUAAGUUUCUCUCCUUUUGGGUCGUACAAUCA